This 491-nucleotide ribosomal RNA is filed under the name Alteromonadales bacterium M3-C8. RNAcentral describes it as "bacterial SSU rRNA". It matches the Rfam family "Bacterial small subunit ribosomal RNA", at positions 1 to 492 of the family's 1533-position model. Lineage: Bacteria; Pseudomonadati; Pseudomonadota; Gammaproteobacteria; Alteromonadales. The record is from RNAcentral.
UUGAGUUUGAAUCAUGGCUCAGAUUGAACGCUGGCGGCAGGCCUAACACAUGCAAGUCGAGCGGUAGAAAGUAGCUUGCUACUUUUGAGAGCGGCGGACGGGUGAGUAACGCGUGGGAAUCUACCUGGUAGUGGGGGACAACUUGGGGAAACUCAAGCUAAUACCGCAUACGCCCUACGGGGGAAAGGAGGGGCUCUUCGGACCUUUCGCUAUCAGAUGAGCCUGCGUAGGAUUAGCUAGUUGGUAGGGUAAAGGCCUACCAAGGCGACGAUCCUUAGCUGGUCUGAGAGGAUGAUCAGCCACACUGGGACUGAGACACGGCCCAGACUCCUACGGGAGGCAGCAGUGGGGAAUAUUGGACAAUGGGGGCAACCCUGAUCCAGCCAUGCCGCGUGUGUGAAGAAGGCCUUCGGGUUGUAAAGCACUUUCAGUGGUGAGGAAGGGUGUAAAGUUAAUACCUUUAUACAUUGACGUUAGCCACAGAAGAGCCG